Molecule: ribosomal RNA, 433 nt
Filed under: uncultured bacterium
Lineage: Bacteria
Description: partial 16S ribosomal RNA
Rfam family: Bacterial small subunit ribosomal RNA
Source: RNAcentral
AACGAACGCUGGCGGCAUGCCUAACACAUGCCAGUCGAACGAGACCUUCGGGUCUAGUGGCGCACGGGUGCGUAACGCGUGGGAACCUGCCCUUAGGUUCGGAAUAACUCCCCGAAGGGGGUGCUAAUACCGGUUAAUGUCUUCGGACCAAAGAUUUAUCGCCUUUGGAUGGGCCCGCGUUGGAUUAGCUAGUUGGUAGGGUAAAAGCCUGCCAAGGCGACGUUCCAUAGCUGGUCUGAGAGGAUGACAAUCCACACUGGGACUGAGACACGGCCCAGACUCCUACGGGAGGCAGCAGUGGGGAAUAUUGGACAAUGGGCGAAAGCCUGAUCCAGCAAUGCCGCGUGAGUGAUGAAGGCCUUAGGGUUGUAAAGCUCUUUUACACGGGAUGAUAAUGACAGUACCGGGAGAAUAAGCUCCGGCUAACUCCGUG